GUGUCAGCCGCCGCGGUAAGACGAAGGUGGCAAGCGUUGCUCGGAAUCACUGGGCUUAAAGAGGACGUAGGCGGCUCGGCAAGUCAGGUGUGAAAACCCUUGGCUCAACCAAGGAACUGCACCCGAUACUACCGGGCUUGAGGCGCUGAAGGGCGACUGGAACUCUCGGUGGAGCGGUGAAAUGCGUAGAUAUCGAGAGGAACGCCAAUGGUGAAGACAGGUCGCUGGUGGCGUCCUGACGCUGAGGUCCGAAAGCUAGGGGAGCAAACGGGAUUAGAAACCCCCGUAGUCC
This 292-nucleotide ribosomal RNA is filed under the name uncultured bacterium. RNAcentral describes it as "partial 16S ribosomal RNA". It matches the Rfam family "Bacterial small subunit ribosomal RNA", at positions 505 to 796 of the family's 1533-position model. The record is from RNAcentral.